AUACGGGGGGUGCAAGCGUUAUUCGGAUUUAUUGGGCGUAAAGAGCGCGUAGGCGGCUUGGUAAGUCAGAUGUGAAAGCCCGGGGCUCAACCCCGGAAGUGCAUUUGAAACUAUCAGGCUUGAGUAUGGGAGAGGGAAGUGGAAUUCCUGGUGUAGAGGUGAAAUUCGUAGAUAUCAGGAGGAACACCGGUGGCGAAGGCGACUUCCUGGACCAAUACUGACGUUGAGGCGCGAAGGCGUGGGGAGCAAACAGGAUUAGAAACCCCAGUAGUCC
RNAcentral lists this ribosomal RNA (274 nucleotides) under uncultured bacterium. Its description in RNAcentral is "partial 16S ribosomal RNA". It matches the Rfam family "Bacterial small subunit ribosomal RNA", at positions 523 to 796 of the family's 1533-position model. The record is from RNAcentral.